RNAcentral lists this ribosomal RNA (483 nucleotides) under uncultured bacterium. RNAcentral describes it as "partial 16S ribosomal RNA". It matches the Rfam family "Bacterial small subunit ribosomal RNA", at positions 30 to 506 of the family's 1533-position model. The record is from RNAcentral.
AUUGAACGCUGGCGGCAGGCCUAACACAUGCAAGUCGAGCGGAUGAAGGGAGCUUGCUCCUGGAUUCAGCGGCGGACGGGUGAGUAAUGCCUAGGAAUCUGCCUGGUAGUGGGGGAUAACGUCCGGAAACGGGCGCUAAUACCGCAUACGUCCUGAGGGAGAAAGUGGGGGAUCUUCGGACCUCACGCUAUCAGAUGAGCCUAGGUCGGAUUAGCUAGUUGGUGGGGUAAAGGCCUACCAAGGCGACGAUCCGUAACUGGUCUGAGAGGAUGAUCAGUCACACUGGAACUGGGACACGGUCCAGACUCCUACGGGAGGCAGCGGUGGGGAAUAUUGGACAAUGGGCGAAAGCCUGAUCCAGCCAGGCCGGGGGUGUGAAGAAGGUCUUCGGAUUGUAAAGCACUUUAAGUUGGGAGGAAGGACAGUAAGUUAAUACCUUGCUGUUUUAACGUUACCAACAGAAUAAGCACCGGCUAACUUCGU